Cinara cedri is the source of this 368-nucleotide non-coding RNA. The record is from the annotation of a GenBank genome assembly. Lineage: Eukaryota; Metazoa; Arthropoda; Insecta; Hemiptera; Aphididae.
AACUCAUAUUGUUAACGUUUUCUCCUCGAGAUUAUAAACGAUUAUAAAUAAUUCAGAAUGACAUCGGAAUAACUCGGUAUCUAUUAUCCGGGUACAAUAGACGAGAAUCGUCGACAUGGUAAAACUAUGUCAAGAUUGGCCGUGCAGCGUUACGGUUUUCAUAAAUACUAUAUAAUAUACUAGCUGUCUCAUCCGGCGUUGUCCAUGCCAAAAGAAAUAAAAGAAAAAAAAAAUUAUCAUUAUGUUAUUACGGCCCUUAAACGGACUACUUUAUUAUUCGUUUUGUUUGGUUUUUUUUUUUAUUUUAUUUUAUACGAUCGUAUCUACCGUGUAUCCCAUAUGCUAAUUAUAAAUACCUAUUAUAUAUU